UUCAGAACUCAGGGCAAUUUCACCACAAUAAAAAUAUAUAUUAAAGAAAAAACUUGGGGCAGACAUCACCUCCUUUGGAAUGCCCUUCCUUCCUCCCUUCCUCCCUCUCUCCUUGGUGUGGAUGAAAUAUCCCUCAUCAGGAACACCUGAACUCCCCACAAAUCACGCCUAAUGGAUUGUCCGUGAUGCUAAAAGCCAGCUACUUCCUUUUGUCCUCACAGAGUGGUAACCAAAUCAAUAGACGUGUCUCAAUGCCUUUGCUUUUCCUGAUUCUAACCCCUGCCUUAUGCCCAGUUGCAUUUCUGCCAUUUGGUUCUCAAAGACACCACCAAAUCCUUACCAUUCUUAUAAUAAACUUCCUUUUCUGCCUAUGCCAGCUCAGGCUGGUUUGUUACUCAAAUCUGGGAGUCGUGAUUCACCCGUGAUCCCUCGCUCACGGGCAUCCCGGCAUUACCUACAGGGGCAGAGACAGUUAGAGCUCACCACCAAUCUCUGAGCUCCCCUAGGUUUCCUGGCUUCCACAGAAGUUAGCGUGGGGGUGACCAUGUGACCAGUUCUAGCCAACGGACUAUGAGCGGAAGUGACGUGUGUUACUUCUGGACCAACGCGGUUAAGAGCCAAUGUACCUCCUCCAUCUGUCUUGACCCCACUGUGACAACAACAUGUCCCCUGUGGUGUGGCUAUAAGAAGGAGGAGGGCUUCCCAACCUACGGAGGACUUUGCACCAGCCAAAAGACAAACUUUUUUUCAUGAUAAGCCACCGAGACCUGGGGGGGUUUGUUCCCGCAGCUACCAUUACUUACGUUAUUAUAUCUGUUAAAUGACAGCUGUAUGUGACUGCUCUCUUCCAUUAGAACAUGAUCUGUUUGAGGUCAGUAGCUGAGUUCAUCUUAGAACUCCUGCACCAGCCCCUACAGGACCUGGGACAGGAAGUGUGUUUGUUAAAUGUGUGUUGAAUGAAUUACAAGCAGAUGAAUCAUUCCAUCCAAUGUUUCAACACCUCAAGUGAACACUUACUCGUAACCCGAGGAGUCUGGAAACUUCGAAAGCUGGAAAUUGAGCCUAGAAUCUUCUAUCUCCAAGCCAAGGGCUUUUUGCAUAUCAUUGUGGAUAGAUGACGGGAACUGUGAAUUAACUCCAACGUGUGACAGUUCAGCAGACAGGCAGUCUCCGUGGAGCUUUCUAGAACAAUUAUUCUGGAAAGUCAUUUCUGGGAAAGGGCCCAAGAAUUUACCCACAGCAGAGGAGAAAGACUUCAAACAUUGACUGCUUCUGUUGCCCUGGUCAUGAAACUCUGAAAACAACACAAGUCAGAAGCUUCCUAGGGGACAGAGGAGCAUCUGUCCUUUGAAAAACUUCAACAUUUCUGUUAAACAAUUUUUCUGGAAUUAACAAAGGGGAAAGUGAGCAGAAACAUUCUGAAAAUCCAGCAAUUAGGCUCAAAAAGUCAGUUCAGGGUGAGGAAACAAAUUUUGUGACAGCUUGUGUAAAUGCCUGAAUUAACUGAAACUCGGUAGUAAUAAAGAUAAAAUUUGCUUUGCUGUUGCCAAUGGGAUGAGACUACUGUGUGUCAGGUGCAGAAGUGGCCUUUAUAGGCAGGAUCCUUCCUUAUUCCUUAUAGCAAAGCGGUAACGUACCGAAUGCUGGUCCCAUUUUACAGGUGAAGAAAACGAGGUCAGAGUACUUAGGAAAUUUCCUAAAGAUCACAAAGGUAAUAAGUGGCGAACAUAGGAUUCAAACCGAGGCUUUUUGAAUUCCAAAGCCCACGCUCUAGGUUUUCAGAUGUGGCCAGUUUGAUUCUCUUAUUUGAAAGUCUCAGAAAUCCACUGUAAACUGGUUUAGACAAAGGGACUUUAUUGGUUCACAGAAUACAAAAAGGAUUGAAUGACAAUCCACCGGAAGGACAGGGAUAGCGCUGGGCUUCCGGGGCAACCGCAUCCAGAUGCCCGAAGGCUGCCGGCAGUCCCUCCCCCUCCAUUUCUCUGCUCCUCUCAGGGUCACCUUCAUUGUCUCUCUUACAUGGUGUUCUUCCCACACACGGCAGAAAACACGGCUGUCAACACAUCCCAAACCUCACAUCCGUCAGCUCCUACCCAGAGAGGAUCUGACUGACUUCAGCGCCAGUUUGAAAAAUCCGAGAGCAGAAAUCGGAUCGGACAGCUUGCGUCAAUACCUCCUCUGUACCCAUCCACUCUGGCCAUGGAGAUGGGUCAUCUAAGAACAAGGCAGCUUCUUGUUCGGAGGAAGAUAAAGUGGCUGAAAAAACCAAAAUGGUCCAAGGAAAUAUAAAAGCUUAGCUGGAAGCAGAGGAAAUACUCAGGGGGAUGUUCCUGUGAUCUGUAGACAUCUGAAGGACGGUCACGAGGAAGAGGAGGUGCUCUGAGUCACUAUGGGACUGAUGGGCACAAGUUUCCAGGAGACAGACGUCAGGUUCAGGUUCGGCAUUCGCUAAAUUUGUUACAACUGAUGAGCCUACACUGACACAUCGUUAUCACCCAACGUCCAUGGUUUACAUUAGGGUUCACUCCUGGUGCUGUACAUUCUGUGGGUUUGGACAAAUGUAUAAUGACACGUAUUCAUUAUUACAAUAUCACACAGAGUAUUUUCACUGCCCUAAAAAAUCCUCUGUGUUCUGCCUAUUCAUCCCUCCCCCUUACAUAUGUUUUUACAGCGUUUAUAUCUCAAUGGAUAUGCAAUUUCAAUAACACCAUUGUAUCGUGAGCAUUUCCCCCGUAUCAUUAAAAAAUCUUUCAUGGGGCCAGCCUGGUGGCACAGCAGUUAGGUUUGCACAUUUUGCUUUGGCAGCCCAGGGUUCGCCAGUUCGGAUCCCGGGCGCAGACAUGGCACUGCUUGUCAAGCCAUGCUGUGGCAGGCGUCCCACAUAUAAAGUAGAGGAAGAUGGGCAUGGAUGUUAGCCCAGGGCCAGUCUUCCUCAGCAAAAAGAGGAGGAUUGGUGACAGAUGUUAGCUCAGGGCUUAUCUUCCUCCAAAAAAAAAAAAAAAAAAGUCUUUCAUAAACACCAUAUUUCCAAGUUAAAGCCCAUAAUGUAACAUGAUUAUUUUUCCACUUCCCUAUUUAGGUUAUUUAUAUUUUUUUGCUACCAUAAAUAUCACCUCUAUGUUUGAUUAUCAUAAUUCAUAAGUCUUAGUCCAAAUUUCUAAUUAUCUCCUUAGGUCCUUCAAAAUUUUGAUGCUCAAAUAAUGCCCAGUCUAUUGUAUACACUAGAGGGAGUUUGCGAGUUCUUGGAAACAAUAGUUUUCUGUGCCCUGGUGAAGAAUGAAAAUAACCUGCCAAGACUGGCAGAAAUAUUAAAGGCAUUUGGGAAAGCUAUGCCUGAUCUCAUAAUGAAACAAUGUGGGCAUUUUCUUCCCAGGCCCGUCCCAUCGUGGGUCAGGAGCAGAGCUCAGCCGGCUAUUUGGGCUGACCACAAGCAUGGUCGUGAAUCUUUAGAUCUGUGGAUGACCGAAGGGUGAGCACAAAGGCCACGCUCAGUCUAUGAAGAAAGGCCAUGUGAGAGGGCUCUGAGAGCCCCACCCUCGCCUCGGGGAACCGCAGUCCCCAGCUGAGUUCCCAGAGCCGCAGGCCAGACCUUGUUGUGGAACUUGUUGUACAAGUUCUCUGAGGUUGUAGUGGCUGCGCUUGAUAGGCUGCGGUGGGUAACUGUCCUUAACCAAGGCUCCGGUCACGAGCAAAUGAGUGGGUGGCAAGCCAUGUGACCAGGGCUCCUGGAAUGACUCUGAGGAGAUGGUUCUCAUAGCAGAAGAUUCUGGCACAGAGGGAGCAUGCCAGAGCCCAGGCAGCCAAUGGUGGCUGGGCAAAUACAGCUGAGAAGAGGGGGAAGAGUGACACGAGAAUGUGGAGUACUGCUGUGUCAACCCUACAUCCCCCAAGGAUUAAGAAGGGACCACUGUUCCCCUUGGACCAAGGACUCUGCCUCUUCUUCUUGCUGGUUCCAUCUUCCCAGAGAUUGGCCCCUCCUAGCCCGCCACACUUGACUUGCUCAUUUGUGCAGGAGAUAAAUUAAGACCCUCUUUCCUUAAAACUAUAACCACAGGCAGAAUUUUGACUCUAUGCCAGAGUACUCACAUGACCUAGGAAGGCAGUGGAACUUUCCUGGUUGGCAAAAAUGGAAAUCUUUGGGAAA
Molecule: long non-coding RNA, 4144 nt
Organism: Equus caballus (horse)
Lineage: Eukaryota; Metazoa; Chordata; Mammalia; Perissodactyla; Equidae
Source: Ensembl